CGGAGUGCGCCAGAGUUGGAGAGCUGGGGCAGACUGUAAAUCUGUUGCCUUUGGGCUGAGUAGGUUCGAAUCCUACCACUCCGA
Molecule: transfer RNA, 84 nt
Filed under: Caudoviricetes sp.
Lineage: Duplodnaviria; Heunggongvirae; Uroviricota; Caudoviricetes
Description: tRNA-Tyr
Rfam family: tRNA
About the family: Transfer RNA (tRNA) molecules are approximately 80 nucleotides in length. Their secondary structure includes four short double-helical elements and three loops (D, anti-codon, and T loops).
Source: RNAcentral